Dromaius novaehollandiae (emu) is the source of this 2805-nucleotide long non-coding RNA. RefSeq lists it as uncharacterized. The transcript is spliced from 3 exons. Lineage: Eukaryota; Metazoa; Chordata; Aves; Casuariiformes; Dromaiidae. The record is from RefSeq and is a predicted model, not a curated record.
UUCAAAAUCUCCUUUAAUCAUGGACUUUUUUCUAAAGUUUUUGCGUCUUAUGAGGUUUUCAGUCUACAAACACCCCCUGGGAGCACACUCUGACUUCUUUUCUCCUCCAUUUCUCCUCACGCAACUCCAGCCUUCCAGAGGCAGCUGCUGAGCAGAAGGACAAGGUUUUCUCUAUUUCUUGAGGAAGUUUUUGUCUCUGACUUGAGAAACUGUUAAAAAGAUCUGGUUUUUGGAGGGGGGAGGCUAAGCACUGCCUUCUCCCAUGGAUCCAUAUUUGGCACUUUGUUUUCCUUCUCCCCCUCAUGCCUUUCCUUACUCUAUCUCCCCUGUACCUUUUUCUUGUUCCAUUUGGAAGCAGGAGCCUACCCAUGCUCACGAGAAGCCGUGCUGUCAGGCAUCUGAUCUCCCCACUUAACAGGGUUUGCAUGGUUACCUCUCCGGCCCUUUGGAAAUCUUGCCCAGUGUCCUCUGGGUUAGUGCUUAAUAACCCACUAAUCUGUCAAAAAAGGUGGCAACAACAGCCUGACUUGAAAGAAAGAUGUUUUCCAAGCUGUAUGAAAAUGCCUGUGGAUCAGCCAAGCCUAAAUUAAGACCCACGUUUUGGGUCUGUCUUGUAACAAGACCUCAACUCUGAGCCUCUUGAUGAUGACUUGCAGCAACUGUCUGCUCUGAGCAAUUCAAAAUUGACUAAAGUAUAAACACAUGAAAUGCUAAAUCAGAACCCCCAUAAACCAUCACUCUGAACUCUUUGAAUACAUAUUUUUCCCUUUCCAGGUGCAUUUUUUUGCUUAUGGAAAGCCCUACCUUUUGGACAGUAAAGCGACACUGUUCACAGGAAAUAUUUGAGUUGAAAACCCAAUUUCUCAGCAAAACAAUUCAAGGACAUAAAUAUAUUCAGAAGACUUUUCUUUGGAGUCCUCCUACCUCUAGCAUAAGUCACUGCAGCCAAAUAGUCAGAGAACCGUAGCCAAGUAACACAACCCACUGCUGCUGAGCAGGGACCCAACACAGUAAAGUCCUGCACUUUCGUUACUUAAAACACACCUCACAGGUCCUCUCAGCUGGGAAGCUGCCUACAACUCAAUUUGUCGUCCUGUGAAAAUGAACUUUUGUCUGUUUUGCCCUUUCCCCAGGCAGUUCAAGGAAGGCAACCCGUGAGACUAAAAUUAGCUCUGGCUUCUCUCUGCACUGGGUUCUGAAAGCAUCUCCUGAAGAGCACAUUGCCUGCCGAGACAGCAGCAGGUGAUUCAGAGAAGGGCAAUUUAUCAUCAUGCCUAUUCUUGGUAACAGAAGGGAUCAAUUUUCUUCAACAUUCCUGUAAUGUAGAACUUGCAAAUUGAAGGUGCCAGGUUGUGCCCUGCUGGAAGGGAAGAAUCUACAGGACUCUGGAGUGACAAGUCUGCUGGACUAUGGACUACAAAACUCUUUUUUUUAAAGAUUCCAGUGCAUUUUUAGUGAUUUUGGUUGAAGAUUAUUUUCUCUGUAUGUAAAAUCUGAGCUUCUCUUUCCAUAGAGCAAGAUUUUGAGCUGAAAUGGAGCACAUCACCAGCUAAGGCAUUAAAGCAAUGACAUCUAUUGCCAGCAAACCUCAGAUAUCAUGUGCUGGCAACACAAUGAAAGCAUUUCACGUGGGCUCUUUGCCAACAAAAUAUGUCCAAAUCAAUCAUGAUAUCUAAUGUGUUACCGGCCACCAUCCUGGAAUCCUCUUGCACACAGCAGUGCCAAAGACUGAUGGAUCAAAUCCUAUCUCGCCAAAUCCAGCCACUGGAGCUUCAAGGAGGACAUGACAGAAUGGCAGCAGUCCUUCCUCCAGCAAACAAAAUAAAUAGUCAGAUCUAAUAGACACCAUCGGUAAUUAGAUUUUGCACACUAAGAUAUACUGUAUGUGUGUAUCAGGCCAAAGCAGCACAGUUUCCACUUCAAAACACUGAAAAUCAGAUUUUUCUUAACUGAAAGCUGUGUUCAAAGUAUCCAUGUGCGAAUUUUUACUUUACUAAAGCCUUUCGAACUGUGGCAUAUGAAAUGAUUUAGAAGCCAAAUCUCACAGAGCCAUUCAGGCUAUAUUCUCUGUGCCAGUAACUCUUUAGUCUUUCAAGGCUGUGAAUUCCCAGCUUGUGAAGUUAAUUCCAGUGAGUUCUCAUUCUGAAGUUUCUCUUAGCCCCGAACUGCCAGUUAACAAGCUCACAGCCAGGGUUUGUAAGAGGAUGAGACCUGCUGCAGCUGGAGCUUUCAACAAGACUUUGCAGUCAUGCAACUGCGAAAUUUCAUAGAGCUGCUGCAAUAGGCACAGUGUAACUCACUUGGCAAUAUAUGAUCUUCAGUUUCCAUAAUUUAAUUUUGAAAACAAGACCCAAAGUGCAUAUACCUAGCUAGUCUCUCUUCUGGAACAUCGUAAUAUGCUGACGUGUCAGCAAGUCUAUCAGUGGAGAGAGGUUAAUGCCCCAGCAGAAAAGAUGCUAAUACCAAAAUAACAAUGAUCCGCAGAACUCUGAAGAGCAUCACAGAGCAGGUUGGAAAGAUGUCAUGCAAGGUCAGCCUGGACAUUGAAGGAAACUGCAAUGCCAUUCACAAAGAGCUUCAGACCAUCCUGAGGACAGGCCAUUGAGGUUCUCUGAAACACAGCGGAGAAAUGUCACUGAGAUUCUUCAGAACAUAAAGCAGUGAACAAUACUCAAUUUGCAAUGCCUGAAGGCAAUAUCUUCUGUGGUCUGAUGGAUACAUCACUACCCAUAAGUCAGAAGAAGGUGGUUUUAUCACAACUUUGCCAGGAGACUACAUCAGCUCGGGGUCAUGCCACAUCUAUAC